RNAcentral lists this transfer RNA (83 nucleotides) under Salmonella phage PVPSE1. RNAcentral's name for it is "Salmonella phage PVP-SE1 tRNA". It matches the Rfam family "tRNA". Rfam says of the family: Transfer RNA (tRNA) molecules are approximately 80 nucleotides in length. Their secondary structure includes four short double-helical elements and three loops (D, anti-codon, and T loops). Further hydrogen bonds mediate the characteristic L-shaped molecular structure. tRNAs have two regions of fundamental functional importance: the anti-codon, which is responsible for specific mRNA codon recognition, and the 3' end, to which the tRNAs corresponding amino acid is attached (by aminoacyl-tRNA synthetases). tRNAs cope with the degeneracy of the genetic code in two manners: having more than one tRNA (with a specific anti-codon) for a particular amino acid; and 'wobble' base-pairing, i.e. permitting non-standard base-pairing at the 3rd anti-codon position. The record is from Rfam by way of RNAcentral. RNAcentral also lists the same sequence under 1 other name. Lineage: Duplodnaviria; Heunggongvirae; Uroviricota; Caudoviricetes.
GCAGGUGUGGUGGAAAUGGAGAUACACAGGAGACUUAAAAUCUCCCGCUUAAAUGAUUACGAGUUCGAGUCUCGUCACCUGCA